AGAGUUUGAUCCUGGCUCAGGACGAACGCUGGCGGCAUGCCUAACACAUGCAAGUCGAACGGAGAUAUUCAGGAAGUUUACUUUCUGAGUAUUUUAGUGGCGGACGGGUGAGUAACACGUGGGUAAUCUGCCUAUCACAUUGGGAUAACAGGGUGAAAACGCUGCUAAUACCGAAUAAGCCGACAGGGAUGGGAGUUCCAGUCGGAAAAGGAGCAAUCCGGUGAUAGAUGAGCCCGCGGCUGAUUAGCUAGUUGGUGAGGUAACGGCCCACCAAGGCGACGAUCAGUAGCCGGCCUGAGAGGGUGAACGGCCACACUGGAACUGAGAAACGGUCCAGACUCCUACGGGAGGCAGCAGUGGGGAAUCUUCCGCAAUGGGCGAAAGCCUGACGGAGCAAUGCCGCGUGAGUGACGAAGGCCUUCGGGUUGUAAAGCUCUGUCUUCAGGGACGAAAAAAAUGACGGUACCUGAGGAGGAAGCCACGGCUAACUACGUGCCAGCAGCCGCGGUAAUACGUAGGUGGCAAGCGUUGUCCGGAAUUACUGGGCGUAAAGGGCGUGUAGGUGGACUGAUCAGUCGGAUGUGAAAUAUCCAGGCUUAACCUGGGGGCUGCAUUCGAUACGGUCAGUCUUGAGUGCAGGAGAGGGCAGUGGAAUUCCCAGUGUAGCGGUGAAAUGCGUAGAUAUUGGGAGGAACACCAGUGGCGAAGGCGGCUGCCUGGACUGUAACUGACACUGAGGCGCGAAAGCGUGGGGGAGCAAACAGGAUUAGAUACCCUGAUAGUCCACGCCGUAAACGAUG
RNAcentral lists this ribosomal RNA (800 nucleotides) under uncultured Eubacteriales bacterium. Its description in RNAcentral is "bacterial SSU rRNA". It matches the Rfam family "Bacterial small subunit ribosomal RNA", at positions 8 to 811 of the family's 1533-position model. Lineage: Bacteria; Bacillati; Bacillota; Clostridia; Eubacteriales. The record is from RNAcentral.